Molecule: ribosomal RNA, 499 nt
Filed under: uncultured bacterium
Lineage: Bacteria
Description: partial 16S ribosomal RNA
Rfam family: Bacterial small subunit ribosomal RNA
Source: RNAcentral
AUUGAACGCUGGCGGCAUGCCUUACACAUGCAAGUCGAACGGCAGCACGGGAGCAAUCCUGGUGGCGAGUGGCGAACGGGUGAGUAAAGUAUCGGAACGUGCCCAGUCGUGGGGAUAACGUAGCGAAAGUUACGCUAAUACCGCAUACGAUCUAUGGAUGAAAGCGGGGGAUCGCAAGACCUCGCGCGAUUGGAGCGGCGGAUAUCAGAUUAGGUAGUUGGUGGGGUAAAGGCUCACCAAGCCGACGAUCUGUAGCUGGUCUGAGAGGACGACCAGCCACACUGGGACUGAGACACGGCCCAGACUCCUACGGGAGGCAGCAGUGGGGAAUUUUGGACAAUGGGCGCAAGCCUGAUCCAGCCAUGCCGCGUGCAGGAUGAAGGCCUUCGGGUUGUAAGCUGCUUUUGUACGGAACGAAAAGGUUUGACUUAAUACGUUGGACUCAUGACGGUACCGUAAGAAUAAGCACCGGCUAACUACGUGCCAGCAGCCGCCGUAA